UUGGACUGGACUGUACCUGGUUUAUUGAUGCAGAUGUUCAGCUGACCUGCAUGAUGAACAGCUCACUGGAAGAAGUGAAUAAUGAUCUCUGCUAUAGUUGAAGAUAAUCUUAAUUUUUUCCUGUUUUCUCUGCCAUGCACCCAAACGCUCAGUUCAUUUGAGAAGAUUGGAAAGGAACAGUGGAAUUGCUUCAGCUCUGCGCCCAUCCUGUAAGGUGCAGAAUACCCUUAACUCACACGUCAAUGGCGUACUCAACUCAGAUACUAAGCGACCUGAAAUUAGGGAAACAUCCACAAAGGGCUCUAUCCAGCAGACAUUACUCAAGCAUAAUUCCCAUUGAUUUCAAAAACUUUUGCCUGAGCAAAAACUGUAGGAGUGGCACCUAAGACUUUGAAGGAAAAGCACCAUCCUGUUUCUAUAGAAGGCUAGAAGAAAGGUAAUCACAAAGGAUAACAUUUUCAAAAGCAUGUCAUUUUCAUAUUGCUUAAUGUUCUUAGUGUUUAAUGCCAGAAGGGAUCAUUAGAUUAUCUAGUCUGACUUCCUGUAUAUCACAGGCCCUUAUAUUAUCCCUGUAUUAAGAUCAGUGACUUGAGGACUGAAAUUCUUUAGUUUAACUCUGGAGAACAGGAGAAACUAAGUUGCCACCAAUCAUAGGCGCAGACUCCGUGAGUGCUCCAGGGCUGGGGCACCCAUAGGGAAAAUCCUCCUCCCACCUUGAACAAACCGCGUCCCUGCUCCUCCGCCUACCUCCCAGCGC
Molecule: long non-coding RNA, 757 nt
Organism: Malaclemys terrapin pileata
Lineage: Eukaryota; Metazoa; Chordata; Testudines; Emydidae
Exons: 3
Source: RefSeq, a predicted model, not a curated record